RNAcentral lists this ribosomal RNA (765 nucleotides) under Entrophospora etunicata. RNAcentral's name for it is "SSU rRNA". It matches the Rfam family "Eukaryotic small subunit ribosomal RNA", at positions 355 to 1116 of the family's 1831-position model. Lineage: Eukaryota; Fungi; Glomeromycota; Glomeromycetes; Entrophosporales; Entrophosporaceae. The record is from RNAcentral.
ACGGGUACGGGGAUUAGGGUUCGAUUCCGGAGAGGGAGCCUGAGAAACGGCUACCACAUCCAAGGAAGGCAGCAGGCGCGCAAAUUACCCAAUCCCGACACGGGGAGGUAGUGACAAUAAAUAACAAUACGGGGCUCUUUCGGGUCUCGUAAUUGGAAUGAGUACAAUUUAAAUCCCUUAACGAGGAACAAUUGGAGGGCAAGUCUGGUGCCAGCAGCCGCGGUAAUUCCAGCUCCAAUAGCGUAUAUUAAAGUUGUUGCAGUUAAAAAGCUCGUAGUUGAAUUUCGGGAUUGACACAUCGGUCGUGCCUUAAGGGGUAUGAACUGGUGUAGUCAAUUUCUCACCUUCUGGAGAACCGCGAUGCCCUUAAUUGGGUGUCGCGGGGAACCAGGACCUUUACUUUGAAAAAAUUAGAGUGUUUAAAGCAGGCAUUUUGCUUGAAUACAUUAGCAUGGAAUAAUAAAAUAGGACGGCAUGAUUCUAUUUUGUUGGUUUCUAGGAUCACCGUAAUGAUUAAUAGGGAUAGUUGGGGGCAUUAGUAUUCAAUUGUCAGAGGUGAAAUUCUUGGAUUUAUUGAAGACUAACUACUGCGAAAGCAUUUGCCAAGGAUGUUUUCAUUAAUCAAGAACGAAAGUUAGGGGAUCGAAGACGAUCAGAUACCGUCGUAGUCUUAACCAUAAACUAUGCCGACUAGGAAUCAGACGAUGUUAAUUUUUUAAUGACUCGUUUGGCACCUUACGGGAAACCAAANUUUUNNGGGUUNNA